GACGAACGCUGGCGGCGUGCCUAAUACAUGCAAGUUAAGCGGAGUCAUUUUGAAAGCUUGCUUUCGAAAUGACUUAGCGGCGGACGGGUGAGUAACACGUAGGCAACCUGCCCUUCAGACUGGGAUAACUACCGGAAACGGUAGCUAAUACCGGAUAAUUUCUUUUUUCUCCUGAGAGAAGAAUGAAAGACGGAGCAAUCUGUCACUGAGGGAUGGGCCUGCGGCGCAUUAGCUAGUUGGUGGGGUAACGGCCCACCAAGGCGACGAUGCGUAGCCGACCUGAGAGGGUGAACGGCCACACUGGGACUGAGACACGGCCCAG
This 322-nucleotide ribosomal RNA is filed under the name uncultured bacterium. RNAcentral describes it as "bacterial SSU rRNA". It matches the Rfam family "Bacterial small subunit ribosomal RNA", at positions 28 to 334 of the family's 1533-position model. The record is from RNAcentral.